This 403-nucleotide long non-coding RNA is filed under the name Amborella trichopoda. Its description in RNAcentral is "long non-coding RNA (ATRI_LNC005012)". The record is from RNAcentral. Lineage: Eukaryota; Viridiplantae; Streptophyta; Magnoliopsida; Amborellales; Amborellaceae.
UUCAAUAUACAGUUUGAAAAAACUUUCCUUUUAUUUCUUGCAAAAAAAUUUCUCUUCUAAAAUUAGGGAAAUUACAUAAAUAAUUGUUAUACUUUCCGUUAUUACUCGCAUGUCCGUUUUUUUCACUUCAUAACAAUUUUUUUAAAAAGACCAUUUUACCCUUUUCGGUUGUUGAACCACCGAAAUUUUUGGAAUUUCCGUUUUUCAAAAACCGAAAUUCUUUUAAUUUCGGAUUUUGAAAAAUUGAAAAUUAAAAGUUUUUGUUUUUUCAAAAUCGAAAAUUUUUGCGUGACAAAACCCAAUUUAAGGUAUCCUACAAGCGCAUGGGAGCAUUUUUAUUGUUAUUUUAUAGUUUCAAAAUUUUUUUGUCCCCAAAUAUAGUAUCCUGCAAACUUUUUUGUCC